UACGGGGGGAGCAAGCGUUGUUCGGAUUUACUGGGCGUAAAGGGCGCGUAGGCGGUCAGCACAAGUCAGUUGUGAAAUCUCCGGGCUUAACUCGGAAAGGUCAACUGAUACUGUGCGACUAGAGUGCGGAAGGGGCAACUGGAAUUCUCGGUGUAGCGGUGAAAUGCGUAGAGAUGUGGAGGAACACCGAUGGCGAAGGCAGCCCCCUGGGUCAAGAUUGACGCUCAUGCACGAAAGCGUGGGGAGCAAACAGG
RNAcentral lists this ribosomal RNA (254 nucleotides) under uncultured bacterium. RNAcentral describes it as "partial 16S ribosomal RNA". It matches the Rfam family "Bacterial small subunit ribosomal RNA", at positions 524 to 776 of the family's 1533-position model. The record is from RNAcentral.